CAGCCGCCGCGGUAAUACGGAGGGGGCUAGCGUUGUUCGGAAUUACUGGGCGUAAAGCGCACGUAGGCGGCUUGGUAAGUUAGAGGUGAAAGCCCGGAGCUCAACUCCGGAAUUGCCUUUAAGACUGCCGAGCUAGUAGGUGAGAGAGGUAAGUGGAAUUCCGAGUGUAGAGGUGAAAUUCGUAGAUAUUCGGAAGAACACCAGUGGCGAAGGCGGCCAUCUGGGACAACACUGACGCUGAGGCACGAAAGCGUGGGGAGCAAACAGGAUUAGAUACCCCAGUAGUCCCUGUCUCUUUACA
Molecule: ribosomal RNA, 301 nt
Filed under: uncultured bacterium
Lineage: Bacteria
Description: partial 16S ribosomal RNA
Rfam family: Bacterial small subunit ribosomal RNA
Source: RNAcentral